Molecule: ribosomal RNA, 759 nt
Filed under: uncultured Enterobacteriaceae bacterium
Lineage: Bacteria; Pseudomonadati; Pseudomonadota; Gammaproteobacteria; Enterobacterales; Enterobacteriaceae
Description: bacterial SSU rRNA
Rfam family: Bacterial small subunit ribosomal RNA
Source: RNAcentral
AUUGAACGCUGGCGGCAGGCCUAACACAUGCAAGUCGAGCGGCAGCGGAAAGUAGCUUGCUACUUUGCCGGCGAGCGGCGGACGGGUGAGUAAUGUCUGGGAAACUGCCUGAUGGAGGGGGAUAACUACUGGAAACGGUAGCUAAUACCGCAUAACGUCGCAAGACCAAAGAGGGGGACCUUCGGGCCUCUUGCCAUCAGAUGUGCCCAGAUGGGAUUAGCUAGUAGGUGGGGUAACGGCUCACCUAGGCGACGAUCCCUAGCUGGUCUGAGAGGAUGACCAGCCACACUGGAACUGAGACACGGUCCAGACUCCUACGGGAGGCAGCAGUGGGGAAUAUUGCACAAUGGGCGCAAGCCUGAUGCAGCCAUGCCGCGUGUAUGAAGAAGGCCUUCGGGUUGUAAAGUACUUUCAGCGGGGAGGAAGGUGUUGUGGUUAAUAGCCACAGCAAUUGACGUUACCCGCAGAAGAAGCACCGGCUAACUCCGUGCCAGCAGCCGCGGUAAUACGGAGGGUGCAAGCGUUAAUCGGAAUUACUGGGCGUAAAGCGCACGCAGGCGGUCUGUCAAGUCGGAUGUGAAAUCCCCGGGCUCAACCUGGGAACUGCAUUCGAAACUGGCAGGCUAGAGUCUUGUAGAGGGGGGUAGAAUUCCAGGUGUAGCGGUGAAAUGCGUAGAGAUCUGGAGGAAUACCGGUGGCGAAGGCGGCCCCCUGGACAAAGACUGACGCUCAGGUGCGAAAGCGUGGGGAGCAAACAGG